Molecule: ribosomal RNA, 331 nt
Filed under: Oxymeris cerithina
Lineage: Eukaryota; Metazoa; Mollusca; Gastropoda; Neogastropoda; Terebridae
Description: partial 12S ribosomal RNA
Source: RNAcentral
UCUUGGAUGUAAAUAGACCAGAGUACUAUGAAUAAUAUAAAAUUUAAAACUCAAAGAACUUGGCGGUGUUUUAGACCAUUUAGGGGAACCUGUCUCGUAAUCGACAAUCCGCGCUGUACCUGACCUUUUCUUGUUUUCAGUUUGUAUACCGUUGUCGUCAGGUAACUUUUUAGAGAAUAGAAGUUGGCUGUAGAAAUGUAAUUUAGUACGUCAAAUCAAGGUGCAGCCAAUGAAAAGGAGAGGAUGGGUUACAAUUAUGAGUUAUAAUAACGAAAGGAGGACUUAAAAGUAAACUGGACAAAAAUAGUUUGAAUAAGGCUCUGAAACGUGU